GGCAGACAUGUGCAGGAUUAAAUGUAGGUUGGCCUUUGGCCAGCAGCGCGUAAAGCGUGGGAUCCUACUACCUGAGGUCUGCUUUUUU
RNAcentral lists this non-coding RNA (88 nucleotides) under unclassified sequences. Its description in RNAcentral is "DUF3800-VII RNA". It matches the Rfam family "DUF3800-VII RNA". The record is from Rfam by way of RNAcentral.